Salvelinus sp. IW2-2015 is the source of this 249-nucleotide non-coding RNA. The record is from RefSeq and is a predicted model, not a curated record. NCBI's taxonomy places the organism in Eukaryota, Metazoa, Chordata, Actinopteri, Salmoniformes, Salmonidae.
GGAUCUGAGAGAUGCCAGUCAUGAGCGUGCAGUGGAGGCCAUCCGUAGUGCUGGAGACCCUGUUGUCUUCCUGGUGCAGACUGGACAACACAAAUCACAGUCGUCUCCUGUGCUCUCCAACCAUGAGAGGCAAGCCUCAGCGUCACACAGCGACUCACUGAACAACAGGCCAACAGCCAAUAGGACUGUCAGGAGAAGCCCCACAACUGUCUCUGCAACCAAUCACACGGAGAGACACGGAAGACGACA